Molecule: unclassified non-coding RNA, 194 nt
Filed under: uncultured Cortinarius
Lineage: Eukaryota; Fungi; Basidiomycota; Agaricomycetes; Agaricales; Cortinariaceae
Description: sequence contains ITS2
Source: RNAcentral
AUAUAUAUUAUCAACCUUCACUUGUUGAGUGGUUUGGAUGUGGGGGUUUGCUGGCCUCUUUAUAAAAAGAGUUCAGCUCUCCUGAAAUGCAUUAGCAGAAACCAUCCUGUUCAUUGGUGUGAUAAUUAUCUACGCUAUUGAAUGUGGAGCAGGUUCGGCUUUCUAACUGUCCUUGGACAAAUUUUAUCAUUAAU